AUUGAACGCUGGCGGCAGGCUUAACACAUGCAAGUCGAGCGGAGAUGAGGUGCUUGCACCUUAUCUUAGCGGCGGACGGGUGAGUAAUGCUUAGGAAUCUACCUAUUAGUGGGGGACAACAUUCCGAAAGGAAUGCUAAUACCGCAUACGUCCUACGGGAGAAAGCAGGGGAUCUUCGGACCUUGCGCUAAUAGAUGAGCCUAAGUCGGAUUAGCUAGUUGGUGGGGUAAAGGCCUACCAAGGCGACGAUCUGAAGCGGGUCUGAGAGGAUGAUCCGCCACACUGGGACUGAGACACGGCCCAGACUCCUACGGGAGGCAGCAGUGGGGAAUAUUGGACAAUGGGGGGAACCCUGAUCCAGCCAUGCCGCGUGUGUGAAGAAGGCCUUAUGGUUGUAAAGCACUUUAAGCGAGGAGGAGGCUACUGAGACUAAUACUCUUGGAUAGUGGACGUUACUCGCAGAAUAAGCACCGGCUAACUCUGUGCCAGCCGCCGCAGUAA
RNAcentral lists this ribosomal RNA (501 nucleotides) under uncultured bacterium. RNAcentral's name for it is "partial 16S ribosomal RNA". It matches the Rfam family "Bacterial small subunit ribosomal RNA", at positions 30 to 523 of the family's 1533-position model. The record is from RNAcentral.